UUGAUUUAAUUUGACUUUAAUUGAUAACAUAAUGGAAUAUAGCCAGGCUAGCCUUACAGAGUCGCAACACUUUGCGUUGUGUCGAGGUCGGUCUGAUCACAAAAUUCAUAGUUUACCCACCUCUAAUUUGACCACUACAGCCCUGCAUAUAAUGUCAGGUUGGGACCUAUAAAAGCCCUUGCCAUUUGCUUACAUUUGUUAUAUGAUUGUGAUAUUCAUUUGUAAAUUAAUCCACAAUUGUGAUAACUCAUCUUUGGAAAUGCUUGUCAGUUUCCAAACUGUUAUUGCAUGCACACUUUUACAUAUUAUUAGGCAUUGUAAGUCUGAAUAAUUGAAUCAAACGUAUUACCAAUUGGCAGCCGCUAACAGUAUGUUCGGAUACUUGUUGGAAGUCAUGGUCAUCCUCUUGGGAUUAUUAUUUGCUGUUUGGCAAUGCUUUUCCUUUAUGGUACUUGAGUAUCUAUUAAUAUCUUUCAGUUUUUGCUGUCUAAUUUAUUAAUUUCCUUUGAGCAAAGGUUUAACCUUUAUCACCUCUCUGCAUUCAUGCGUAACACCUGCUCUAAAUGUUUCUACUUUUUUAUCUUUUGUUUACAGGAGAACCUUGAGAAUGCCAAUGUUGUGUCAGACAAAGCCAAGCUGUUCCCUGAUCAUGUUACUACUCAGGAGAACCUUGAGAAUGCCAACGUUGGGUCAGAUGAACCCAAGCUGUUCCCUGAUCAUGUUACUACUCAGGUAAUUGAAUAUUAUAGAACCUGUAGUUACUCUCCAUUUUAUGUGGUAUCUUUUCUAGCAUGUUUGCCAAGUAAGGAUGCAACUAAUAUUCCACCUCAGAAACAUCCUGUCCAUCAUUUAGUAGUAGAGUUCACCUGACCGCACACCUUUCUAGCCUAACCCUCUGGAUAUCUUAUAACCCAUUCAUUUACCCUUAUGGGGUCCAUUCAAUUUGAUGGUUCAAUUUUUGUUGUUGAAAUUCACAUCACACACACACACACUUGUUUCCAGUCUUGACAUAGUAGGGCCCUCCCGUUUUGAUUAUAUUUGAGGUGAUUUUAAAUACCUUUAGAAAUGCUUGUCAGUUUCCAAACUGAUGUUAUUACAUGCACACUUUUACACAUUAUUAGGCAUUGUAAGUCUGAAUACUUGAAUCAAACGUAUUACCAAUUGGCAGCCUCUAACAGGUUGUUGGGAGACUUGUUGGAAAUCAUGGUCAUCCUCUUGGGAUUAUUAUUUGCUGUUUUGGCAAUGCUUUUCCUUUAUGGUACUUAAGUAUCUAUUAAUAUCUUUCAGUUUUCGCUGUCUAAUUUAUUAAUUUCCUUUGAGCAAAGUUUUGACCUUUUUCACAUCCCUGCAUUCAUGCGUAACACCUGCUCUAAAUGUUUCUACUUUUUUAUCUUUUGUUUACAGGAGAACCUUGAGAAUGCCAACGUUGGGUCAGAUGAACCCAAGCUGUUCCCUGAUCAUGUUACUACUCAGGAGAACCUUGAGAAUGCCAACGUUGGGUCAGAUGAACCCAAGCUGUUUCCUGAUCAUGUUACUACUCAGGUAAUUGAAUAUUAUAGAACCUGUAGUUACUCUCCAUUUUAUGUGGUAUCUUUUCUAGCAUGUUUGCCAAGUAAGGAUGCAACUAAUAUUCCACCUCAGAAACAUCCUGUCCAUCAUUUAGUAGUAGAGUUCACCUGACCGCACACCUUUCUAGCCUAACCCUCUGGAUAUCUUAUAACACAUUCAUUUACCCUUAUGGGGUCCAUUCAAUUUGAUGGUUCAAUUUUUGUUGUUGAAAUUCACAUCACACACACACACUUGUUUCCAGUCUUGACAUAGUGGGGCCCUCCCGUUUUGAUUAUAUUUGAGGUGAUUUUAAAUACCUUUAGAAAUGCUUGUCAGUUUCCAAACUGAUGUUAUUACAUGCACACUUUUACACAUUAUUAGGCAUUGUAAGUCUGAAUACUUGAAUCAAACGUAUUACCAAUUGGCAGCCUCUAACAGGUUGUUAGGAGUCUUGUUGGAAGUCAUGGUCAUCCUCUUGGGAUUAUUAUUUGCUGUUUUGGCAAUGCUUUUCCUUUAUGGUACUUAAGUAUCUAUUAAUAUCUUUCAGUUUUCGCUGUCUAAUUUAUUAAUUUCCUUUGAGCAAAGUUUUGACCUUUUUCACAUCUCUGUAUUCAUGCGUAACACCUGCUCUAAAUGUUUCUACUUUUUUAUCUUUUGUGUACAGGAGAACCUUGAGAAUGCCAAUGUUGGGUCAGAUAAACCCAAGCUGUUCCCUGAUCAUGUUACUACUCAGGUAAUUGAAUGUUAUAGAACCUGUAGUUACUCUCCAUUGUAUGUAAUAUAUUUUCUAGCAUGUUUGCCAAGUAAGAAAGCAACUAAUAUUCCACCUCUAAAAAAAAACCUGUCAAUCAUUUAGUAGCAGAGUUCACCUGACUGCACACCUUUCUAGCCUAACCCUCUGGAUAUCUUUUGAACACUUUAAUUUACCCUUAUGGGGUCCAUUCAAUUAGAUGGUUAAAUUGUUGUUGUUGAAGCUGACAUCACACACACACACUUGUUUCAAGUCUUGACAUAGUGGGGCCCUCCCGUUUUGAUUAUAUUUGAGGUGAUUUUAUUUACCUUUAGAAAUGCUUGUCAGUUUUCAAACUGAUGUCAUUGCAUGCACACUUUUACACAUUAUUAGGCAUUGUAAGUCUGAAUACUUGAAUCCAACGUAUUACCAAUUGGCAGCCUCUAACAGGUUGUUGGGAGUUAUAGCCAUGCUCUUGGGAUUAUUAUUUGCUGUUUUGGCAAUGUUUUUCCUUAAUGGUACUUAACUAUCUAUUAAUAUCUUUCAUUUUAUGCUUUCUAUUUGAUUCAAUUCAUUUGAGCAAUGUUUUUUUUGUUUUAGGUUUAUAUAUCUUCAUGGUUGACAUAAUAAUGAAACGUAUAUUAUUUUGUAUUUAAUCAUAUUUAGGUGUUUUCUGUCAGAGGAAUUUCACUUGUGGAUUAUUCUGACUCUGAUGAAACCAGUUCAGAUUGUUGGAAAGACCAGCCUAUGACUCCUCAUAUUGAUGAAGUUAAGGAAAAGCUCAACGACACAAGAAAAAUUCCGGUAUGCCUCAUUUUAAAGGAGAAUAAAAUGUUGAUGGUCCACUUGUCUAAAACAAAUUCUCUUGUGUUCCUCUCAUUGUCAUUUUAAAGAUGGAAAGCGUUUCAGACCAUUGGUCUCCUCUGCAUGAUUCCUGUGAAAGUGUAGUGGAGGAAAGUGAAGCCAUUGAAGAAUCCAGUGAUGUCGACUCUUUCAAAGACAAUUCCAAGGAUGAGGAUGUUGUUCCCAAACUGAGGAGGACCGAAAGCUCUCUGGUAUGCCUCUGACAUAGUUUAUAAAUAGCUAUUUAAAAGACCAUUUCCCCUGAAAUUGAUUCAAGAAAUUAUCAAUAAUCAAUAACCAUUGCAUUAUGCACUUCUCUUUUUGUAGAAAGAAGUACCUGAUUUCUAUAAUAAUAUCUAUGACACAAGUGAUGACAGUGCCCCAGACUCCACUUUUAAGGCUGCACAGAGGCAGAGGCCAAGAAGAGCCUGUCGCCAUCCAGUGAGAUUCAUUUUACAUCAUGUUACAUCAUGUUAAUACUUAGUUUUGGGUAGUGGUAGAAAACACAAUGUUCAGAGUUGGACUUGGAGUGCUAGAUAUUCUGAUUAUACAGGAAUACAUAUGUGAAACUUAUUGUCAUGUUGAUUUUAAGGCUACCUUUAAAGGUAAAAAGCCAAAUAUUUUUGUGUUGAAUUUCGAAAUUAUUUUAGACAGUAAAACCCAGUAUUGUGGGUGACUAAUUUGUUUUAAUAAUUGUUUUCGUUUAAGAUUCAGAAGAGUCUUCUAGAAUCAGAUGACUCUAGUGGAGACAGUGGUGAAGAGUAUCUUCCAAAUCCCAAAGAUGAAGGAACAGAUAGUGACAGAAGCUCAGAGUUAUCUUUGGAAAGGAAAGAAAUGAACAAAACUACUAAGGGCAGCUCCAGGUCGCCCAGCAAGGGCAGCUCCAAAUCAAGCCAGAGCAGCUUCAAGUCUUUCAGCAAGAAUGGCCUAAAAUCAUCAAGACAGGGCAGCUCCAGGUCUUCUUUUCAGAGCAGCUUACAGACAUCCAAGCACAGCAAAGUGAAGUCGUCGAAGCAGAACAGGGUCAUGUUUUCCAGUCAGAGAAGUUUUGCGUCUUCCAGAAAAAACAGCUUCAGAUCUUCUAGUAAUAGUCAGUCUGAGCAGUCUGAGGCCAGUCAGAGCCAAUUUGAGUCCAGACACACCCAGUUCAGGUCCACUGAGAACAACAGAGGCUUUGAAAUCAGUCAUGAGUCCUCUCAAAGUGUUGAUGAUGACAAAGGUGAUGUAAAUGAUGAUGUGGUUCAUACUAACAAUGAAGUGAGUAUUUCAGUACCCCUUGAAGAAGUCUUUGUUGAACCUGUUUUGAAGAAAGCGAGUGGAAAAAUAUGUUAUAACAAGAAACAUCACUGCUUGUUUUGCGGGCAAGAAGUUCAGAAAAUGUCACGACACUUGCUGCGUAAACACAAGGAUAAUGUUGAAGUGGCCAAAGCAUUUAUCUUCCCAAAAAAAUCCAAAGAGAGGCGACUACAACUUGAUCAUAUCCGAAAUAAGGGGAACUAUGAGCAUAACAUGGAAGUUAUGGAGAGCCAAAAAAGGAAAACUAAUCCCAUAAAAGCAACCAACGGAAAAAACUGAAGGAGCAGAUUUCCUGCAUUGUGUACACUGCUAUGGUUUGUUUAAACGAAAAGCAAUGUGGCGACAUUUUAAGGUCUGCAAAUUCCAACCUGAAACAUCAAAACCUGGACGAAAAAGAGUCCAAGCUUUAUGUGCAUUCGCUGAAACUACUCAAACAAGAUUUCCCAGUGGAUAUUGGACGCUUCUAAAAGGGAUGAAUCAAGACACAAUUGCAAUGGCUGUCAAGCAAGAUAAUUUCAUUCUUGAGUUUGGUUACAGACUCUUCAAGAAGAAUGGUAAAGCAAAGAGCCAACACCAGUACAUUCGACAAAGACUGAGAGAGCUUGGCAGACUGGCACUGGAAACUAAAAAAAGUGCAACAGCGAAGACUAUUAAAGAUCUCAUUAAACCGGAAAUGUAUGAUCAUUUGGUCACUGUGGCAAAAUGCAUUGCCGGAUUUAGUGAUGACACUAUAUCGAUGUGCAUCUAUUGCUCGGAAACUUGGCCACACCUUGCAUGGCUUUGCCAUGUUUGUUAAAUCUCAAGGAUUGAAGAUGAAGGAAGAAAUUACUGUAAAAAAUGCUGAGGAAUUCAUACAGCUAUACCAAGAUAGCUGGAAAUAUGACAUAGGAAGCCAAGCCCUAACCCAGCUCAACCAGGCCAAAUGGAAUGCACCUCAACUGCUACCGCUAACACAAGAUGUUCAAACCCUUCAUUUUCACUUGUCUGUAGGGAUGGGAAUUGAUAAGAAUUUCACGAUUCCGAUUCUGCUUAUCGAUCCGAUUCCUUAUCGAUUCUCUUAUCGAUUCUCAUUGGGUGAGAAAAUAAGUAUAAAUGUGUUUGUUUGCAUUACAUCUCUUUAAUAUCUGAUCAGAAGUGCUUCUAGUAUUAGGAAAUUGUACAUUUUCAAAUCAAUUGGUCUAGACGAAAAGAUAUAUGUUUCGCUUUUUAAGCCCAAAUGCCAUCAUUAUGUGCCAUACAACUAAAAACAAAGACUGAAAACAGCCAAGUAAGAGCUUGUGCCUUUUGGAAUUCUAACAGUGCUCAUUUGCAUUCAACUUGUAACAAAAUUAAACUGACAUAAACAAAAUGAAGCAUUGAUUAGACAGAGAUUUAUUAGAUGGGCCUACCUAAUAAACCGUUGGAACACACAAGACCGGAAACCAUAGCAAUGCCGGUAAACAAACCCCGAGAAGCCCAAUCCCUAUGAGAGCUCCCCACGCUACGGCCAUCCGGAGGCGACAGAGCUGUUGGCCGUGAUAUUAUAUAUACAAUUAUAAUAUAGUAUAUAAUAUAUUAUAUACUAUUAUAUAUAGAGCUCCGGGAGUCGCAAACUGCAACAAUCACUUUCUCCUCCAUUCCGCGGUUCACCCGGACUGCACUGCACUGAGUUUGACGGCUGAACGCGGAUUGGCUGUUACGUUACACAUGUCACUCAGUUAUCAAGCUGUUGAACGCUGAUUGGCUGUCAUCACGACAAAAACUUGUCAUCGGUUUUCUCCCGCGAAAAACUCGCCCUUAUACGCGUCUCUACGUUCACUUUGUAUGGGAUCUUGUCGCCCCGUCGCGUUUGGUGUGAACGCACAAUGCGAUUCUUCCUCGGCGGCGACAUGUUUGCUGCGUUCUGAACCAAAUCAAAGCAGCGUGUGUGUGACGUCACGACGCAUUUGCCGCGACCGGAACCGAUAAGCGGAAUCGUUAAGCAGGCUUGCUAACGAUUCCAAGGAAUCGGUUGACUCGGAACCGGUUCUGAACAAGAACCGGUUCUCGAUUCCCAUCCCUACUUGUCUGAGAAACAGCAACAACUUUUGAAUGCCCUAAAAGAAGAGACUUCGUCCUCAAACUGGAAAGACCUUGCUAAAGUGACAUUGGCACAAUUGAUCAUUUUUAACCGCCGUAGAGAAGGAGAGGUGUCAAGGACGCCGCUAUCUGCAUAUUUGUUGAUGGAUGUAUCUGAAACACAUGAAGAUAUUAACUUGGCUCUCACACCACUUGAGCAGAAGCUCUGCAAACAUUUUUCCAGGAUGACCAUAGUUGGAAAGAGAGGAAGAAAAGUUCCUCUUCUGCUCACCCCGAUCAUAAGGGAAUCACUUGAUCUACUGGUUGAAAAGCGAGAGGAGUGUGGGGUGCUGAAUGAAAAUGUGUUUUUAUUUGCAUUGCCUCAAUCUGAAAACAGCCUCAGGGGUUACAGCUGCCUCAAAGAGUUAGUGGAAGAUUGUGAUGGUAUCAACAAUCCCACAGCAUUAACCUCAACAAAACUCAGGAAACACAUUGCAACCAUGUCGACUGUCCUGAAUUUACAAAAUACCGAACUUGACCAGUUAGCAGAUUUCCUUGGGCACAACAUUGAUGUCCACAGAAAGCACUACAGACUCCCAGAAGGCACUCUUCAAAUAGCCAAAAUUAGUAAAAUUCUUCUGGCAUUGGAACAAGGACGGCUAGGGGAAUACAAAGGAAAAAAUCGGGAUGAAAUUCAUAUUGAUGUUAAUGGUAUUACACAUGAAUGGAUUUGAAUGCAACAAUAAUUAUAAUGUUCUGUAUCAGUAAGAGGUUGAUUUCAACAGUUAUACAUUUUAUACCAAGUUGAUUCAUAUUGUACCAAUUACCUUUUUUGAAACCGUUGACUCACAAGAUUGUCCCCAAGAGAACAGUGAAGGUAUGUGUCAGCGAUUGAUUGAUUGGUUUGGUUGUUGGUUGAAUUAUUUAAUAAUGACCACUGCAUGCAUUCUGUCUCAUGCCCAUGGGUGUCCCUGGUUACUAAUGAACAUCUUUUUCGAGUACACUAAGGCACAAGUACUAUAUAGUUACAUACCCAUAUGUGCAUCUUCAGGUAUGCUGGAAGGAGUCAGAAGAUGCAACUUUUUUGUCAGAAGGUACCACCACACUAAAUGCCAGUAAGAUGAGUUACAAUUAUGAGGACAGUUAGGCAUGGAACUUUUCAGUGCGUGCAAUGCAUGCUUUGGUACAAGUUCCUUUCAUUUUUUUGGUAUUUGUGGCAUAGUGGUGCAUCGGUUUCCCCAUGAAACAGUGAGAACAACUUUACACUGUUGGUAGAAGUGAGGUCUACAUAAAGUAUUGCAGUACAUGUGUGUUUUUUCAUAUUUUGAGUCAAUAUGUCUGUCUGAUCCAUUUGUGCCAUUUUUUAUUUGUACCAAACUAUCAGAAGUACAGGGAUCAGAGGAUGAGACUACAUCAACCCUGCUAGAAGGUACCGCCUCUGUGAACUCCAAAAAGAAGAGAUUGGCAAGAAAGAGAGGAAUAUCAGAAGACGAAGCCACACCUCUCACAACAUCCGGCACAAAGAAAAGCAAGCCGUCAAGAAAGAAAGGUACAAAACCUGCCAUCAGAAGACCAUGGACGCCAGAGGAGUGUGCAGCAAUUAAGCGGCAAUUGAGAAGGUUUUUAAUAAUGAAUAUGACACCGGGUAAGUCAUAUUGUGAAAAAUGCCUUUCCGAAGAACCCGAGGCACUCAAAAACAGAAGUUAUGAACAGAGAAAGAAAUUGAUGUAAGAAAAAAUAGGAAAGGUUUUUCUCAUCUCUUGGAUUGUUGGAUUGAUGCAAAAGUCAGGUUUUAUUACCAUGCAAAAUGGUAGAAAUGUUCACAAUACAGUUCACAAAGGUUCAACCUAUGCCUGCCAUCGGCAUUCAAGCUAUAGCUUAAAAAAUGUUAAGUUGUUGCUGUUUGAUUUCGAUAUUCAUAUUCACGUCAUAAGAACUGAAACUACCGAUGGCAUUAUGGUCUUUUUUUGUCACUGUACCAUACCAAGUAAUACUCAAAGAUGAAUUAAAGUGAGAAAUGUGAGUAAACUCUGAUUAUUUAAUUACUCAUGGAUAGAAAUCAGACAAAUGGGAGAGGGAGGUCGAUGUUCAAGCUGGAAAGUUAAAAACAAAAUCAUGCCUUGCUAAUGCCUAAUCCUGCCCAGGAGGACAAACCAAAGAUUUCUCUCGAUGUUUGGUCAUAUUGUAAGUGGCACUUGUAGGCAUGCUGUAUAGGCUGUUUCCUUAAGCCUCUAUGGUGGCUGGGGUGGGUAUAUUUGACCCCUGUGUUCAAGAAAGUGAUGCAAAUCCAGAAGCGUGUAGGGUUCAAACUCCAAAGGGGUUUAUUGGGACAAAACUAAAAUAAAAAAUCGAAAGGUUAUCUAGGAAUAACAGAAUAAAAGGUGGCAAAGAUAACAUGAAUUCAGAUUGAGCACUCCUUGGCUUAUUGUUGAAAACUUUCCCUUACCUCUCCAGCCACACACCAAAGGUAACAUCACCUGCUGAAGUAGAGGUGUCACAGUCCAACCACUAAGCAGAGUCAUGCAGGUCUUCCACUACAGAAGAAUCUUGACACUAUAUUUAAAUACGGUAGCAUUACAUUGUAAUCCAAUAAUUAGCUACUUUGGGCCCCAUUAUGUGGUAAGAAUAAGAAAUAUCUGUGUUUGACCGUGGACCUUACAAGGUAGCAAAGUUAAAAACGGGGCCCCAAUAUGAUGGUAAAA
Molecule: RNA transcript, 9156 nt
Organism: Gadus chalcogrammus (walleye pollock)
Lineage: Eukaryota; Metazoa; Chordata; Actinopteri; Gadiformes; Gadidae
Exons: 5
Source: RefSeq, a predicted model, not a curated record